UAGGGAAUCUUCGGCAAUGGACGGAAGUCUGACCGAGCAACGCCGCGUGAGUGAAGAAGGUUUUCGGAUCGUAAAGCUCUGUUGUUAGAGAAGAACGUUGGUAGGAGUGGAAAAUCUACCAAGUGACGGUAACUAACCAGAAAGGGACGGCUCACUACGUGCCAGCAGCCGCGGUAAUACGUAGGUCCCGAGCGUUGUCCGGAUUUAUUGGGCGUAAAGCGAGCGCAGGCGGUUCUUUAAGUCUGAAGUUAAAGGCAGUGGCUUAACCAUGGAACGAUUUGGAAACUGGAGGACUUGAGUGCAGAAGGGGAGAGUGGAAUUCCAUGUGUAGCGGUGAAAUGCGUAGAUAUAUGGAGGAACACCGGUGGCGAAAGCGGCUCUCUGGUCUGUAACUGACGCUGAGGCUCGAAAGCGUGGGGAGCAAACAGG
Molecule: ribosomal RNA, 429 nt
Filed under: Bacillota bacterium
Lineage: Bacteria; Bacillati; Bacillota
Description: Firmicutes bacterium partial 16S ribosomal RNA
Rfam family: Bacterial small subunit ribosomal RNA
Source: RNAcentral